AUUGAACGCUGGCGGCAUGCCUUACACAUGCAAGUCGAACGGUAACAGGUCUUCGGAUGCUGACGAGUGGCGAACGGGUGAGUAAUACAUCGGAACGUGCCCGAUCGUGGGGGAUAACGCAGCGAAAGCUGUGCUAAUACCGCAUACGAUCUACGGAUGAAAGCGGGGGAUCGCAAGACCUCGCGCGGACGGAGCGGCCGAUGGCAGAUUAGGUAGUUGGUGGGAUAAAAGCUUACCAAGCCGACGAUCUGUAGCUGGUCUGAGAGGACGACCAGCCACACUGGGACUGAGACACGGCCCAGACUCCUACGGGAGGCAGCAGUGGGGAAUUUUGGACAAUGGGCGCAAGCCUGAUCCAGCCAUGCCGCGUGCAGGAUGAAGGCCUGGUUGUAACUAGCUUUGUUACGGUAACGAAAAAGACGUACUCU
This 428-nucleotide ribosomal RNA is filed under the name uncultured bacterium. RNAcentral's name for it is "bacterial SSU rRNA". It matches the Rfam family "Bacterial small subunit ribosomal RNA", at positions 30 to 463 of the family's 1533-position model. The record is from RNAcentral.